This is a long non-coding RNA of Eriocheir sinensis (Chinese mitten crab), 412 nucleotides long. RefSeq lists it as uncharacterized. Lineage: Eukaryota; Metazoa; Arthropoda; Malacostraca; Decapoda; Varunidae. The record is from RefSeq and is a predicted model, not a curated record. The transcript has 3 exons.
CUGUGGGUCAGAGAAAAAAAACGCCAACUACACUUUUCGAAGAUUUUCAGAUUUCGUUGCCGCCAUGUUCUCCAACGUUUUCGCAGACUGUAUAACCGUCAGUGGCGUUUCAGAAGCGGAAGGGGAAGGCUGUGUCGCAUUUAUGCUGAAACGCCAACUUCGCAUGUUCAGGGAAAUCUUUGGUUUGAAAAAAGCCAACUACGUUUAAUGAGCCCUCAUCCUUCCACUCAGUCAAACAAUCCGACAACUAGCGGAAUCCUACUCCAGCUUUGCUAGCUCUGCCAAAGGAGAAGCUCCACAUGACUUCCCGAGCUCACAAGAUGGUGGCCCUAGCUCGGGCCAAGAUCAAAGAAGGAGCAGUCCCCUGGUCAUCUACUACGAACCCUGAGUCUUCCAACAUGGAUGACGUUCC